AUCACUCAAGUCUCAAUGCUGGUAUUUUAUCAAAAGCUUGAAUGAAUAUCAAGGCUGAGGACAACGGAGAAAGAUGAGGCUCAGAAGAGCAGUCGUUGUGUGACAACACAAGCUGGACAGAUUCUUCCAUGUUUACUCCACUGCUUAACACUUUACUGCAUUUAACAGUCUCAUACAAAUCAGGUUUCCAGUCAGGUGUCCCAACUCAGAGCUCUGCACCAGUACAGCUCCUGCAGAGAUGCCACCAGCACUGGAUGGAGCAGUGUGGUGUUUCCAGACUUGGGAUCAGAUUGAUCUGUGUAUGAUAUGAACAAUUUACAGAAGGUCAACACACCCUGCUAAGUGCACUGGAAUGACAAAGCUGAAUUUCACAGAAAGCCAUUGAGCAGGCACACUAGAAUGAGGAGGUGGAAGGAAUAGCAUAAGAAGACAAAGUAGAAAAAUCACAGAAGGUAAGAGAAAUGGAAGAAAAGAACACAAAAUGAAAUUUAAAAAGCGAUCUGAACAGAAUUUUUGGCUUUAAGCACUUCUCAGCUUUGGGAGUGACUUGACUUCUCUUUUUCUGAAGCACUUAAGCACCUUUCU
This 585-nucleotide long non-coding RNA is filed under the name Dromaius novaehollandiae (emu). RNAcentral's name for it is "lncRNA (ENSDNVG00000002728.1)". The record is from RNAcentral. Lineage: Eukaryota; Metazoa; Chordata; Aves; Casuariiformes; Dromaiidae.